AUUGAACGCUGGCGGAAUGCUUUACACAUGCAAGUCGAACGGCAGCACGGACUUCGGUCUGGUGGCGAGUGGCGAACGGGUGAGUAACAUAUCGGAACGUAUCCAAUAAUGGGGGAUAACUAAUCGAAAGGUUGGCUAAUACCGCAUACGCCCUACGGGGGAAAGCAGGGGAUCUUCGGACCUUGCGUUAAUGGAGCGGCUGAUAUCUGAUUAGCUAGUUGGUGAGGUAAAGGCUCACCAAGGCGACGAUCAGUAGCUGGUCUGAGAGGACGACCAGACACGCGUGAACUGAGACACGGUCCAGACUCCUACGGGAGGGAGCAGUGGGGAAUUUUGGACAAUGGGCGCAAGCCUGAUCCAGCCAUUCCGAGUGAGUGAAGAAGGCCUUCGGGUUGUAAAGCUCUUUCGCAAGGGAAGAAAACUUACUUUCUAAUAAAGAGUGAGGUUGACGGUACCUUGAUAAGAAGCACCGGCUAACUACGUGCCAGCCGCCGCCGUAA
RNAcentral lists this ribosomal RNA (500 nucleotides) under uncultured bacterium. Its description in RNAcentral is "partial 16S ribosomal RNA". It matches the Rfam family "Bacterial small subunit ribosomal RNA", at positions 30 to 523 of the family's 1533-position model. The record is from RNAcentral.